Molecule: non-coding RNA, 98 nt
Organism: Acanthosepion pharaonis
Lineage: Eukaryota; Metazoa; Mollusca; Cephalopoda; Sepiida; Sepiidae
Source: the annotation of a GenBank genome assembly
GUUGAAACAGUGGCUCCCGUACGAUCAUCGAAGUGAAGCAUCUUCGAGCCCGGUCAGUACAUAGGUGUGUGACCGUUUUUGAAUACCAGGUGCUGUAA